This 416-nucleotide ribosomal RNA is filed under the name uncultured bacterium. RNAcentral describes it as "bacterial SSU rRNA". It matches the Rfam family "Bacterial small subunit ribosomal RNA", at positions 355 to 787 of the family's 1533-position model. The record is from RNAcentral.
UGGGGAAUCUUGGACAAUGGGGGCAACCCUGAUCCAGCCAUGCCGCGUGAGUGAUGAAGGCCUUAGGGUCGUAAAGCUCUUUCGCCUGUGAAGAUAAUGACGGUAGCAGGUAAAGAAACCCCGGCUAACUCCGUGCCAGCAGCCGCGGUAAUACGGAGGGGGUUAGCGUUGUUCGGAAUUACUGGGCGUAAAGCGCACGUAGGCGGACCAGAAAGUUGGGGGUGAAAUCCCGGGGGCUCAACCCCGGAACUGCCUCCAAAACUAUUGGUCUAGAGUUCGAGAGAGGUGAGUGGAAUUCCAAGUGUAGAGGUGAAAUUCGUAGAUAUUUGGAGGAACACCAGUGGCGAAGGCGGCUCACUGGCUCGAUACUGACGCUGAGGUGCGAAAGUGUGGGGAGCAAACAGGAUUAGAUACCC